Molecule: ribosomal RNA, 485 nt
Filed under: uncultured bacterium
Lineage: Bacteria
Description: partial 16S ribosomal RNA
Rfam family: Bacterial small subunit ribosomal RNA
Source: RNAcentral
ACUCAAAUGAAUAGACGGGGACUUGCACAAGCGGUGGAUCAUGCGGCUCAAUUCGAUGGCAAACGAAGAACCUCACCAGGAUUAGACAUCCAGACGAUCGCUCUAGGAAACUAGAGCUUCCGCAAGGCGGCUGGACAGGUGAUGCAUGGUCGUCGUCAGUUCGUGGCUUGAGUUGUUCCCUUCAGUGGGGUAACGAACGCAACCCUCGUUGCCUGUUUUACAUGUCAGGCGAGACUGCCCCCUCACGGGGGAGGAAGGUGAGGAUGACGCCAGAUCAGCAUGUCCCUCUGAUAUCCUGGGCUGCACGCAUGAUACAAUGCACUCGACAACAAGGCGCAAUACCGCAAGGUGGAGCAAAUCUUUUAAACGAGUGCCCAGUUCGGAUUGAGGUCUGCAACUCGACCUCAUGAAGCCGGAAUCGCUAGUAAUCGCGGGUCAGCUAUACCGCGGUGAAUACGUUCUCAAGUCUUGUACACACCGCCCGU